CACGUGAGUAACCUGCCCUUAACUCCUGGGAGAAGCCUGGGAAACUGGGUCUAAUACCGGAUAGGAGCGUCCACCGCAUGGUGGGUGUUGGAAAGAUUUAUCGGUUUUGGAUGGACUCGCGGCCUAUCAGCUUGUUGGUGAGGUAAUGGCUCACCAAGGCGACGACGGGUAGCCGGCCUGAGAGGGUGACCGGCCACACUGGGACUGAGACACGGCCCAGACUCCUACGGGAGGCAGCAGUGGGGAAUAUUGCACAAUGGGCGAAAGCCUGAUGCAGCGACGCCGCGUGAGGGAUGACGGCCUUCGGGUUGUAAACCUCUUUCAGUAGGGAAGAAGCGAAAGUGACGGUACCUGCAGAAGAAGCACCGGCUAACUACGUGCCAGCAGCCGCGGUAAUACGUAGGGUGCGAGCGUUAUCCGGAAUUAUUGGGCGUAAAGAGCUCGUAGGCGGUUUGUCGCGUCUGUCGUGAAAGUCCGGGGCUUAACCCCGGAUCUGCGGUGGGUACGGGCAGACUAGAGUGCAGUAGGGGAGACUGGAAUUCCUGGUGUAGCGGUGGAAUGCGCAGAUAUCAGGAGGAACACCGAUGGCGAAGGCAGGUCUCUGGGCUGUAACUGACGCUGAGGAGCGAAAGCAUGGGGAGCGAACAGGAUUAGAUACCCUGGUAGUCCAUGCCGUAAACGUUGGGCACUAGGUGUGGGGACCAUUCCACGGUUUCCGCGCCGCAGCUAACGCAUUAAGUGCCCCGCCUGGGGAGUACGGCCGCAAGGCUAAAACUCAAAGGAAUUGACGGGGGCCCGCACAAGCGGCGGAGCAUGCGGAUUAAUUCGAUGCAACGCGAAGAACCUUACCAAGGCUUGACAUGUUCUCGAUCGCCGUAGAGAUACGGUUUCCCCUUUGGGGCGGGUUCACAGGUGGUGCAUGGUUGUCGUCAGCUCGUGUCGUGAGAUGUUGGGUUAAGUCCCGCAACGAGCGCAACCCUCGUUCCAUGUUGCCAGCACGUCGUGGUGGGGACUCAUGGGAGACUGCCGGGGUCAACUCGGAGGAAGGUGAGGACGACGUCAAAUCAUCAUGCCCCUUAUGUCUUGGGCUUCACGCAUGCUACAAUGGCCGGUACAAUGGGUUGCGAUACUGUGAGGUGGAGCUAAUCCCAAAAAGCCGGUCUCAGUUCGGAUUGGGGUCUGCAACUCGACCCCAUGAAGUCGGAGUCGCUAGUAAUCGCAGAUCAGCAACGCUGCGGUGAAUACGUUCCCGGGCCUUGUACACACCGCCCGUCAAGUCACGAAAGU
RNAcentral lists this ribosomal RNA (1287 nucleotides) under Micrococcus sp. Its description in RNAcentral is "bacterial SSU rRNA". It matches the Rfam family "Bacterial small subunit ribosomal RNA", at positions 114 to 1411 of the family's 1533-position model. The record is from RNAcentral. Lineage: Bacteria; Bacillati; Actinomycetota; Actinomycetes; Micrococcales; Micrococcaceae.